AACCUGGUUGAUCCUGCCAGUUGUCAUAUGCUUGUCUCAAAGAUUAAGCCAUGCAUGUCUAAGUUCAGCUUCAGAACAGUGAAACCGCGAACGGCUCAUUAAAUCAGUCUUGGUUUAUUUGAUAGUAAACCUUACUUGGAUAACUGUGGUAACUCUAGAGCUAAUACUUGCCGAAACCCUGUUACGACGGGGGGCUUUUAUUAGAUUCAAGACUACGCCUCGGUAUUUACCGUGGAUUUUGUUGAACUCUGGAUAACUGCAGGACCGCAGAAGCCUUAGUGCUGGCGGCGUAUCUUUCAAGUGUCUGCCCUAUCAACUUUGGACGGUAGUGUACCGGACUACCGUGGUUGUAACGGGUAACGGGGAAUCAGGGUUCGAUCCCGGAGAAGGAGCCUGAGAGACGGCUACUACAUCUAAGGAAGGCAGCAGGCGCGUAAAUUACCCAAUCCCCGAACGGGGAGGUAGUGACGAAAAAUAACAAUAUGAAGCCCUUGUGGUUUUGUGAUUGGAAUGGACGGGAUUUAAAAUCUCCCGUGAGGAUCUAGUGGAGGGCAAGUCUGGUGCCAGCAGCCGCGGUAAUACCAGCAUCCACAAGCAUAUACAAAAGUUGCUGCGUUUAAAAAGCUCGUAGUUGGAUCUGUUGAUUGAGUCUCGUACAGCCCGGUUAACCUUCGGGUGCCGGGGAGACUUGAGCACCUGAGCCAUUAAGGUCGCUUGCACUUAACUGUGUGAGUGAUCGAGAUGGAGGUUUUACUUUGACUAAAUUAGAGUGUUCAAAGCAGCCUUUGGGCUUGAAUAUCAGAGCAUGGAAUAAUGGAAAAGGGCCUGUGUCCCAAUCAUGUUGGUCUAUGGAGAUACGGUAAUGAUUAACAGGGACAGUCGGGGGCAUUCGUAUUGCCACGUUAGAGGUGAAAUUCUUGGAUCGUGC
This 928-nucleotide ribosomal RNA is filed under the name uncultured eukaryote. Its description in RNAcentral is "bacterial SSU rRNA". It matches the Rfam family "Eukaryotic small subunit ribosomal RNA", at positions 1 to 930 of the family's 1831-position model. The record is from RNAcentral.